Molecule: ribosomal RNA, 889 nt
Filed under: uncultured bacterium
Lineage: Bacteria
Description: bacterial SSU rRNA
Rfam family: Bacterial small subunit ribosomal RNA
Source: RNAcentral
AGAGUUUGAUCCUGGCUCAGGAUGAACGCUGGCGGCGUGCCUAAUACAUGCAAGUCGAACGCUUUGUUUUUAAUUGAUAUGAAGAGCUUGCUCUGAUUUGAUUUUAUCUGACAAAGAGUGGCGAACGGGUGAGUAACACGUGGGUAACCUACCUCUUAGCAGGGGAUAACUUUUGGAAACAAGUGCUAAUACCGUAUAACACUAACAACCGCAUGGUUGUUAGUUGAAAGAUGGUUCUGCUAUCACUAAGAGAUGGACCCGCGGUGCAUUAGCUAGUUGGUAAGGUAAUGGCUUACCAAGGCGAUGAUGCGUAGCCGAGUUGAGAGACUGAUCGGCCACAAUGGGACUGAGACACGGCCCAUACUCCUACGGGAGGCAGCAGUAGGGAAUCUUCCACAAUGGGCGCAAGCCUGAUGGAGCAACGCCGCGUGUGUGAUGAAGGGUUUCGGCUCGUAAAACACUGUUAUAAGAGAAGAACGACAUUGAGAGUAACUGUUCAGUGUGUGACGGUAUCUUAUCAGAAAGGAACGGCUAAAUACGUGCCAGCAGCCGCGGUAAUACGUAUGUUCCAAGCGUUAUCCGGAUUUAUUGGGCGUAAAGCGAGCGCAGACGGUUAUUUAAGUCUGAAGUGAAAGCCCUCAGCUCAACUGAGGAAGGGCUUUGGAAACUGGAUAACUUGAGUGCAGUAGAGGAAAGUGGAACUCCAUGUGUAGCGGUGAAAUGCGUAGAUAUAUGGAAGAACACCGGUGGCGAAAGCGGCUUUCUGGACUGUAACUGACGUUGAGGCUCGAAAGUGUGGGUAGCAAACAGGAUUAGAUACCCUGGUAGUCCACACCGUAAACGAUGAGUGCUAGAUGUUCGAGGGUUUCCGCCCUUGAGUGUCGCAGCU